This 1007-nucleotide long non-coding RNA is filed under the name Sinocyclocheilus grahami. RNAcentral describes it as "lncRNA (ENSSGRG00000020593.1)". The record is from RNAcentral. Lineage: Eukaryota; Metazoa; Chordata; Actinopteri; Cypriniformes; Cyprinidae.
ACCUUACCUUCUGCACAGCCUUUGGUGACACAUUGGCCAUUGGCCAGUCUGAGCUCCACCCUGAAAGGUCCAGGAGCAGCUACCGGUGGAGGUGGAGGAACAGAGUUGACCUCCACAACCAGAGCUUCCACAGAAGUUCCAGAGUACCUACACUGGAAGAGAAACCUGGACAACAGACGGUGAGCUUGUAGCAUUUAUCAGAGAAGAACAUUCACACCAAGUCAUAGAUCCCUUACUCAAAAUGACUGUCCCUUGUGAUGGAACCAAACGGUCCAAUCCCCACUUCAUAAGAGGAGGUCAUUCUGUUUUCAUACACCACAUAUCCACGGUCCUCCUGUGAAUAGCAACACUGUUGGCAUACAGUCUGUAAUCAAUGCAGAAUAAAACCAGAAGCAGCUGCUUACCAUCAUGCUCGUGCCACAUGCGGUCACAGGGAACUGGUAUAUAGCAAAGUAAGGUGUGGACUCCACAGGAGUGCAUGAUGGGUCGUUUCCACCCAGUAGACAUACCGAAUCCAGACUCAGUCGAGGCAGAGUAACAUCUCUAGCCACCACUACCACAAACUGACCAUCUCUAAUACACUGGACAGUCACUGGAACAAUGUACAAGAGCAGGUGAAGGCUGAGGAUCAAUUUAACAUGAACCGAACAAUAUUGAGAACGCUUACCUGCCCUUCCAUAGUAACACUGCUGUCUCUUAAAGCAGCAGUUGAUAGCUUCACACUCAGCAGCACUGAUCCCAGGUUGUCCACAUUGGAUCUGCUCAUAAUCAGCUACAGCACAUUUAUCAAGGGGCUCUAUCUGCACCACUGGUUUCUGAAGCUGAAACUGCGGAGGAAACUGACGGUUUGUUUGUUGUUGAACUGGCUGCUGAAACCGCUGGUCAGUUUGUUGUUGAACUGGCUGCUGAAACCGCUGGUCAGUUUGCUGAAUCAUCAGAGCUUGAGGGUUCUGGAGCAGAUUACUCCACUUUGUAACAGCAUGACAGAAUACACAAACUGCCAAAAU